Molecule: ribosomal RNA, 502 nt
Filed under: uncultured bacterium
Lineage: Bacteria
Description: partial 16S ribosomal RNA
Rfam family: Bacterial small subunit ribosomal RNA
Source: RNAcentral
AUUGAACGCUGGCGGCAUGCCUUACACAUGCAAGUCGAACGGCAGCACGGGUGCUUGCACCUGGUGGCGAGUGGCGAACGGGUGAGUAAUGUAUCGGAACGUACCUUUCAGUGGGGGAUAACUAUCCGAAAGGAUAGCUAAUACCGCAUAUUCUGUGAGCAGGAAAGCAGGGGAUCGCAAGACCUUGCGCUGAUUGAGCGGCCGAUAUCAGAUUAGCUAGUUGGUGGGGUAAAGGCCUACCAAGGCUACGAUCUGUAGCGGGUCUGAGAGGAUGAUCCGCCACACUGGAACUGAGACACGGUCCAGACUCCUACGGGAGGCAGCAGUGGGGAAUUUUGGACAAUGGGGGCAACCCUGAUCCAGCCAUGCCGCGUGAGUGAAGAAGGCCUUCGGGUUGUAAAGCUCUUUCGGACGGGAAGAAAUCGCAUCGGCUAAUACCUGGUGCGGAUGACGGUACCGUAAUAAGAAGCACCGGCUAACUACGUGCCAGCCGCCGCCGUAA